Molecule: unclassified non-coding RNA, 21 nt
Filed under: Chlamydomonas reinhardtii
Lineage: Eukaryota; Viridiplantae; Chlorophyta; Chlorophyceae; Chlamydomonadales; Chlamydomonadaceae
Description: small RNA Cre_0485
Source: RNAcentral
AGCGGUGGCCCUGUCCAAGGU